UUUCUAGAAUUGUUUUGGAGA
This 21-nucleotide non-coding RNA is filed under the name Caenorhabditis elegans. Lineage: Eukaryota; Metazoa; Nematoda; Chromadorea; Rhabditida; Rhabditidae. The record is from RNAcentral.